GUGAAUAUAGCGCAUCUCUUCGGAGAGCGUGACCUCCGCUUUCAACUCUGUGCAUUUUUUGGCGAGGGAACGAGACGAAGCGACGCAAGUUGCAGACUCUCGCCUCUUGCGGCUCAUUUUAAACACUAGCUAAAGUAUGUAACGAAAUAUCGAAACAAAAA
This 161-nucleotide unclassified non-coding RNA is filed under the name soil metagenome. Its description in RNAcentral is "partial internal transcribed spacer 1". The record is from RNAcentral.